UACGUAGGGUGCAAGCGUUGUCCGGAAUUAUUGGGCGUAAAGAGCGUGUAGGCGGUUCGGUAAGUCUGUCGUGAAAACCCGGGGCUCAACCCCGGGCGUGCGGUGGAUACUGCCGGGCUAGAGGAUGGUAGAGGCGAGUGGAAUUCCCGGUGUAGCGGUGAAAUGCGCAGAUAUCAGGAGGAACACCCGUAGCGAAGGCGGCACUCUGGGCCGAUACUGACACUGAGGAGCGAAAGCGUGGGGAGCGAACAGG
Molecule: ribosomal RNA, 253 nt
Filed under: uncultured bacterium
Lineage: Bacteria
Description: partial 16S ribosomal RNA
Rfam family: Bacterial small subunit ribosomal RNA
Source: RNAcentral